Molecule: non-coding RNA, 564 nt
Organism: Arachis ipaensis
Lineage: Eukaryota; Viridiplantae; Streptophyta; Magnoliopsida; Fabales; Fabaceae
Source: RefSeq, a predicted model, not a curated record
UGCUAGCGGGUGGUUUGGGCUGUUACAGAUGGUAUCAGAGCCGGAGCCCGGACCGAUGUGCCAGCAAAGGCGCUGGGCUCCUUUAGGGGAGUGGAUUGUAAGGUCCCACAUCGGUUGGGGAGGGGAACGAAGCAUGCCUUAUAAGGGUGUGGAUACCUCUCCCUAGCAUGACACAUUUUGACGAGUGAGUGUGGGGGGCUUCAGCUAUCAUCCUUAUCGUCAAAGGCAAAACCGUGAGGCCUUGAGUGCCAAAGCAGACAAUAUCAUGCUAGCGGGUGGUUUGGGCUGUUACAGAUGGUAUCAGAGCCGGAGCCCGGACCGAUGUGCCAGCAAAGGCGCUGGGCUCCUUUAGGGGAGUGGAUUGUAAGGUCCCACAUCGGUUGGGGAGGGGAACGAAGCAUGCCUUAUAAGGGUGUGGAUACCUCUCCCUAGCAUGACACAUUUUGACGAGUGAGUGUGGGGGGCUUCAGCUAUCAUCCUUAUCGUCAAAGGUAAAACCGUGAGGCCUUGUGUGCUAAAGCGGACAAUAUCGUGCUAGCAGGUGGUCUGGGCUGUUACAAUACU